UACAGAGGUCCCAAGCGCUGUUCGGAUUCAUUGGGCGUAAAGGGUGCGUAGGCGGCGCGGUAAGUCGGGUGUGAAAUCUCGGGGCUUAACUCCGAAACUGCAUUCGAUACUGCCGUGCUUGAGGACUGGAGAGGAGACUGGAAUUUACGGUGUAGCGGUGAAAUGCGUAGAUAUCGUAAGGAAGACCAGUGGCGAAGGCGGGUCUCUGGACAGUUCCUGACGCUGAGGCACGAAGGUCAGGGGAGCAAACGGG
RNAcentral lists this ribosomal RNA (253 nucleotides) under uncultured bacterium. Its description in RNAcentral is "partial 16S ribosomal RNA". It matches the Rfam family "Bacterial small subunit ribosomal RNA", at positions 524 to 776 of the family's 1533-position model. The record is from RNAcentral.